UCAAGCUAAUAAGAGCAUAAGGCGGAUGCCUUGGCAACAGGAGCCGAAGAAGGACGUGACAAGCUGCGAUAAGCUGCGGGGAGGUGCAAAUAACCCUUGAUCCGCAGAUGUCCGAAUGGGGGAACCCACAUACAGUAAUGUGUAUGUACCGUAUGGUGAAUAAAUAGCCAUACAGGAGGUGACCCGGUGAACUGAAACAUCUAAGUAGCCGGAGGAAGAGAAAGAAACAUCGAUCCCCUGAGUAGCGGCGAGCGAAAGGGGAAGAGCCCAAACCAUGCUACGGCAUGGGGUUGUGGACCAUCACAAGUCACAGAUCAUCAUAACCGAAUACAACUGGAAAGUUGAACCGCAGAAGGUAAAGGUCCUGUAGGUGAAAUGAUGAGACGGACGGAUGGCACCAGAGUAGCACCGGACACGUGAAACCCGGUGUGAAGCAGGGAGGACCGCCUCCCAAGGCUAAAUACUACCUGUUGACCGAUAGAGAACAGUACCGUGAGGGAAAGGUGAAAAGAACCCCGGGAGGGGAGUGAAAUAGAACCUGAAACCCUGCACUUACAAGCUGUGGGAGCACAUUACUUGUGUGACCGCGUACUUUUUGUAGAACGGGCCAACGAGUUACGUUAAGUAGCAAGGUUAAGCACUUAAGGUGUGGAGCCGUAGCGAAAGCGAGUCUUAAAUGGGCGAUUAAGUUACUUGGCGUAGACCCGAAACCGGGCGACCUAUCCAUGAGCAGGUUGAAGCGAAAGUAAAAUUUCGUGGAGGACCGAACCCACGAGCGUUGAAAAGCUCGGGGAUGACUUGUGGAUAGCGGAGAAAUUCCAAUCGAACCCGGAGAUAGCUGGUUCUCCCCGAAAUAGCUUUAGGGCUAGCCUCAAGCGUAGAGAAACGGAGGUAGAGCACUGAAUGUCCUAGGGGGUAUUGCACUUACCGAAGACUAUCAAACUCCGAAUGCCGUUUUCUUUUACUUGGGAGUCAGACUGUGGGUGAUAAGAUUCAUAGUCAAAAGGGCAACAGCCCAGAUCGUCAGCUAAGGUCCCUAAAUGUACGUUAAGUGGUAAAGGAUGUGGGAUUGCACAGACAACCAGGAUGUUGGCUUAGAAGCAGCCACUCAUUUAAAGAGUGCGUAAUAGCUCACUGGUCGAGUGAUCCUGCGCCGAAAAUUUCCGGGGCUAAAACGUACUACCGAAGCUACGGCAUCAUUUAUGAUGGGUAGGGGAGCUUCGUAUGCAGGCUGAAGCAUGACCGUAAGGACAUGUGGACAGUAUACGAGUGAGAAUGUUGGCAUGAGUAGCGAGACGUGGGUGAGAAUCCCACGGGCCGUAAACCCAAGGUUUCCAGGGGAAGGUUCGUCCGCCCUGGGUUAGUCGGGACCUAAGCCGAGGCCGAAAGGCGUAGGUGAUGGACAACAGGUUGAUAUUCCUGUACCGCCAAUAAGCGUUUGAGAGAUGGAGUGACACAGUAGGAUAAGCUAACCGUACUGUUGGUUAUGUACGGCUAAGCAUUGAGGCAGUCUAAAUAGGCAAAUCCGUUUAGACAAUGCUAGGAUGUGAUGGGGAAGCCCUUCGGGGCGAAGUAGCUGAUUUCACACUGUCAAGAAAAGCUUCUAUCGAGUUUAAAGGCGCCCGUACCGUAAACCGACACAGGUGGGUGAGGAGAGUAUCCUAAGGCCAGCGAGAGAACUAUUGUUAAGGAACUCGGCAAAAUGACCCCGUAACUUAGGGAGAAGGGGUGCCUGUCUAUGACAGGCCGCAGAGAAUAGGCCCAAGCGACUGUUUACCAAAAACACAGGUUUCUGCUAAGUCGCAAGACGAUGUAUAGGAGCUGACGCCUGCCCGGUGCUGGAAGGUUAAGGGGAUCUGUUAGAGCAAUCGAAGCAGUGAACUUAAGCCCCAGUAAACGGCGGCCGUAACUAUAACGGUCCUAAGGUAGCGAAAUUCCUUGUCGGGUAAGUUCCGACCCGC
RNAcentral lists this ribosomal RNA (1961 nucleotides) under human gut metagenome. RNAcentral's name for it is "bacterial LSU rRNA". It matches the Rfam family "Bacterial large subunit ribosomal RNA", at positions 3 to 1991 of the family's 2925-position model. The record is from RNAcentral.